ACACACUGACACGUGUACUGUUCAAACGGUGUUGGUGACAAAACUAACAGAAAGGACUAACUUGAAACAUAAAAUAAACGUAAAGGACCAAAUUGAUACUUUUUAAACGUUAGAGACCAAAUUGAAACCUAAAAUAAACGUAAGGGACCAAAUGUGUAGUUAAACCAAAAAAUUAAUAUCCUUAGAAUUAAUUAUUAUUUUUAACUAGAUUAAAGAGCCUUGCGAAUGCACGGGUCAUUAAAUUUUAUUCGAUAGCAAAAACUAAUUUAAGAGUUUUAACCAUAUUGUUUUUCAUUUCGUAUAUAACAUUUAAAAUAUGAUUUCAUCAUUUUAUAGUGUAUAAUGAUCAUCAAAUGUUAAAAAUAAUUUAAUAUUUUUAGCUCUUUGAUUUACCAAUUCUUGUAUUUGCCCUUUUUUUUAUGGGCAAACCAAUUAUUUUUUGUAUAUGCCACUUCAGAACACUAAGUAGUAAAUAUAUCUUCGGUUGAUCAAUGUGUUGAUUUUGUCCCUUGCCAUAUUGUUUUUCAUUUCGUAUAUAACAUAUAAAAUAUGAUCUCAUCAUUUUAUAGUGUAUAAUACUCAUCAAAUGUUAAAAAUAAUUUAAUAUUUUUAGCACAUCGAUUUACCAAUUCUUGNNNNNNNNNNNNNNNCCAAAUAUCUUUUGUAUUUGCCUAUUCAUAACACUAAGUAAAUAUCUCUUCGGUUGAUCAAUGUGUUCAGUUUGUCCCUUAAACACACUUAUCCAUUGAGUAAAAAUAAAAUUAGGCUUAACUAUACAUUUGGUCCCUUACGUUUAUUUUAGGUUUCAAUUUGGUCCCUUACGUUUAAAAAGUAUCAAUUUGGUCCCUUACAUUUAUUUUAGGUUUCAAGUUAGUCUUUUCCGUCAAUUUUGUCACAUGUGGCAGCCAAUUUGCAUAUGUGGACAGACACGUGGCACUUAGACACACUGACACGUGUACUGUUCAAACGGUGUUGGUGACAAAACUAACACAAAGGACUAACUUGAAACAUAAAAUAAACGUAAAGGACCAAAUUGAUACUUUUUAAACGUAAGAGACCAAAUUGAAACCUAAAAUAAACGUAAGAGACCAAAUGUGUAGUUAAACCAAAAAAUUAAUAUCCUUAGAAUUAAUUAUUAUUUUUAACUAGAUUAAAGAGCUUUACGAAUGCACGGGUCAUUAAAUUUUAUUCGAUAACAGAAACUAAUUUAAGAGUUUUAACCAUAUUGUUU
RNAcentral lists this long non-coding RNA (1231 nucleotides) under Trifolium pratense (red clover). Its description in RNAcentral is "long non-coding RNA (TPRA_LNC006522)". Lineage: Eukaryota; Viridiplantae; Streptophyta; Magnoliopsida; Fabales; Fabaceae. The record is from RNAcentral.